Molecule: ribosomal RNA, 498 nt
Filed under: uncultured bacterium
Lineage: Bacteria
Description: partial 16S ribosomal RNA
Rfam family: Bacterial small subunit ribosomal RNA
Source: RNAcentral
GACGAACGCUGGCGGCGUGCCUAAUACAUGCAAGUCGAACGAGAGCGACCGGUGCUUGCCCUGGUCAAUCUAGUGGCGAACGGGUGAGUAACACGUGGGUAACCUGCCCAUCAGAGGGGGAUAACAUCCGGAAACGGAUGCUAAAACCGCAUAGGUCUUCGAGCCGCAUGGCUUGAAGAGGAAAAGAGGCGCAAGCUUCUGCUGCUGGCUGGACCCGCGGUGCAUUAGCUAGUUGGUGAGGUCACGGCUCACCAAGGCCGUGAUGCGUAGGCGAACUGAGGGAGUGAUCGGCCACAUUGGGACGUAGACACGGACCAAACGCCUACGGGAGGCAGCAGUAGGGAAUCUGCCGCAAUGGACGCAAGUCUGACGGAGCAACGCCGCGUGAGUGAAGAAGGUUUUCGGAUCGUAAAACUCUGUUGUUAGAGAAGAACAAGUGCUAGAGUAACUGUUAGCGCCUUGACGGUAUCUAACCAGAAAGCCACGGCUAACUACGUG